This is a long non-coding RNA of Lycium barbarum (goji berry), 347 nucleotides long. RefSeq lists it as uncharacterized. Lineage: Eukaryota; Viridiplantae; Streptophyta; Magnoliopsida; Solanales; Solanaceae. The transcript has 2 exons. The record is from RefSeq and is a predicted model, not a curated record.
AUCAUGUCUUUAUUAAUUACUCGGUCUUAUCUAAUGCGACGGACACAUCAUUUUAGCAAAUGAUUCAAAAAAGUCAUGUCAUUGGUUGAUUUGGAAGUACAAGCUGAGGAAAGCUCACAAAGUAAGAAUGAAGUUGCAGGUCAAGAAAGGGGAGGUUUCUAUUUGCCUGUUUAGUUGAUGUCACGUUCUUUCGUCGAUAUUUAACAUGUAUGAGUUGCCAGUAGGAAGAAUUAGUCAUUGUUAGAAAGUUCACAUUUUUUUUUAUCAAGAAAAUAUCUUAAUUUUAUUAUUAGGACUAAUUAGUCAUUGUUAUAAAAUUCAACAUUAUUUUAUACUUUGUCUGAUUA